This 253-nucleotide ribosomal RNA is filed under the name uncultured bacterium. RNAcentral describes it as "partial 16S ribosomal RNA". It matches the Rfam family "Bacterial small subunit ribosomal RNA", at positions 524 to 776 of the family's 1533-position model. The record is from RNAcentral.
UACGUAGGGGGCAAGCGUUAUCCGGAUUUACUGGAUGUAAAGGGAGCGUAGACGGAGGAGCAAGUCUGAUGUGAAAGGCGGGGGCUCAACCCCUGGACUGCAUUGGAAACUGUUCAUCUGGAGUGCCGGAGAGGUAAGCGGAAUUCCUAGUGUAGCGGUGAAAUGCGUAGAUAUUAGGAGGAACACCAGUGGCGAAGGCGGCUUACUGGACGGUAACUGACGUUGAGGCUCGAAAGCGUGGGGAGCAAACAGG